CGGCGUGCCUCACACAUGCAAGUCGAACGAAGCUUGAUUUCUGAUUUUUUCGGAAUGACGAAUGAUAUGACUGAGUGGCGGACGGGUGAGUAACGCGUGAGCCCCCCGCCCUUCGGAACGGGAUAGUGUCUGGAAACGGACAGUAAUACCGUAUAACAUAUAUUGAUCGCAUGGUCGAUAUAACAAAACUGAGGCGCCGAAGGAUGGGCUCGCGUCUGAUUAGAUAGGGGGGGGGGCAACGGCCUACCAAGUCGACGAUCAGUAGCCGGACUGAGAGGUUGAACGGCCACAUUGGGACUGAGACACGGCCCAGACUCCUACGGGAGGCAGCAGUGGGGAAUAUUGCACAAUGGGGGAAACCCUGAUGCAGCAACGCCGCGUGAAGGAAGACGGUUUUCGGAUUGUAAACUUCUGUUCUUAGUGAAGAAUAAUGACGGUAGCUAAGGAGCAAGCCACGGCUAACUACGUGCCAGCAGCCGCGGUAAUACGUAGGUGGCAAGCGUUGUCCGGAAUUACUGGGUGUAAAGGGAGCGUAGGCGGGAUGCCAAGUCAGCUGUGAAAACUAUGGGCUUAACUUGUAGACUGCAGUUGAAACUGGUAUUCUUGAGUGAAGUAGAGGUUGGCGGAAUUCCGAGUGUAGCGGUGAAAUGCGUAGAUAUUCGGAGGAACACCGGUGGCGAAGGCGGCCAACUGGGCUUUAACUGACGCUGAGGCUCGAAAGUGUGGGGAGCAC
RNAcentral lists this ribosomal RNA (733 nucleotides) under uncultured bacterium. RNAcentral's name for it is "bacterial SSU rRNA". It matches the Rfam family "Bacterial small subunit ribosomal RNA", at positions 40 to 771 of the family's 1533-position model. The record is from RNAcentral.